CCUACGGGAGGCAGCAGUGGGGAAUAUUGCACAAUGGGGGAAACCCUGAUGCAGCAACGCCGCGGGAGUGAGGAAGUAUUUCGGGAUGUAAAGCUCUAACAGCAGGGAAUAGAAAAGAAGGUGACUGAAAAAGAAGCCCCGGCUAACGACGUGCCAGCAGCCGCGGUAAUACGUAGGGGGCAAGCGUUAUCUGGAUUUACUGGGUGUAAAGGGAGCGUAGACUGAAAGGCAAGUCAGAAGUGAAAGCCCAAGGCUCAAACAUGGGUCUGCGUUUGAAACUGUCAAAAUAGAGUACGGGAGAGGUAAGAGGAAUUGCUAGUGUAGCGGUGACAUGCGUAGCUAUUAGGAGGAACACCAGUGGCGAAGGCGUCUUACUGGACCGAAACUGACGUUGAGGCUCGAAAGCGUGGGGAGCAAACAGGAUUAGAUACCCUUGUAGUC
This 441-nucleotide ribosomal RNA is filed under the name uncultured bacterium. RNAcentral describes it as "partial 16S ribosomal RNA". It matches the Rfam family "Bacterial small subunit ribosomal RNA", at positions 338 to 795 of the family's 1533-position model. The record is from RNAcentral.